This 138-nucleotide small RNA is filed under the name Candidatus Omnitrophota bacterium. RNAcentral describes it as "Omnitrophica WOR c-di-AMP sequence". It matches the Rfam family "c-di-AMP riboswitch aptamer (ydaO/yuaA leader)". Rfam says of the family: This family represents a conserved RNA structure found upstream of the ydaO and yuaA genes in Bacillus subtilis and related genes in other bacteria. The ydaO/yuaA element is thought to act as a genetic "off" switch for the ydaO and yuaA genes in its native state. Lineage: Bacteria; Pseudomonadati; Candidatus Omnitrophota. The record is from RNAcentral.
AAGCUUUAAACGCCUAAUUCCUAAAACCUCUUUAGGAAAACGGAAGACCCCCGAUCAGGGUAAAUCCCGCCGCCGGCGGGACGGGUAUCUGCCGCCCGCACCCCAUAAGCUAAUUCCGUCGGCGUUGGCAGAUCUUCA